GUUGGAUUUGCAUGGCAAGGUUUUGGUAUCAAAAUUCAUAAUUAAUUGGUAGUUAAAUUCAUAAUUAAUUGGGAAGAAAUAAGAGAAAGUUUUUAUCCUUUCUAGAGAAAGGUUUGAGAUCCAUUGAUGAGAAACAGCCCAACCUGUGUGAGAACUGAAACACCUGGGGAUUAAUUAGCCUGAGGAAUUCUGAUUUGCUCAUUGUCCACACCUGUGUGGCUCAGCAAAACUUAAUUAGCCUGAUUGGGAAAAUUACUUCAGUGGGGUAAGGAGCCAGUUCAGUUCUGCUGGGCUGCCUGAGAGGACUGUGAUUACAGAAAAAACUUUUCUGCAGUCAGGGAGCAAAACACGAGCCUUAAACCUCACACGAGAGCGAGUGAGGCUCCCCAGCAGUCACAGAGGGAUCAAACAGCGUUUAAAGGAAAGGAAACCACCCAAGAAAUCAGCCCUGAUGGUUGAGAGAGCUCUGCCCCAGGCUGGCACACGUGGGCCAGAAAGGCGUGUGCCCCCAACACUGGCACCUCCAGGGGAGCAUUGCCAGCUCUGCUGCCCCAAAUCCAUGGGAAUUGGCUGGGAUACACCGGGCUGGAGUGGAGCAGAGCAGGAGGAACCCAGGAGGAGCUGGCUGUGGUCACUGCAGUGGGAGGCCUGCCGAUGAGCUGUGCUGCUUACUGAGGCUCUGGACCUGCCAGUUGUUCCCCAUCCUAAACACACACACCUGAACUUUGCUGUUACCUUGUGCCCACCAAUGAUGGGGAAAUAAAUGUCACAUCAGAGUCCUGCA
Molecule: non-coding RNA, 784 nt
Organism: Cyanistes caeruleus (blue tit)
Lineage: Eukaryota; Metazoa; Chordata; Aves; Passeriformes; Paridae
Source: RefSeq, a predicted model, not a curated record